This 571-nucleotide ribosomal RNA is filed under the name uncultured bacterium. RNAcentral's name for it is "bacterial SSU rRNA". It matches the Rfam family "Bacterial small subunit ribosomal RNA", at positions 13 to 573 of the family's 1533-position model. The record is from RNAcentral.
UUGAUCCUGGCUCAGAGUGAACGCUGGCGGUAGGCCUAACACAUGCAAGUCGAACGGCAGCACAGAGGAGCUUGCUCCUUGGGUGGCGAGUGGCGGACGGGUGAGGAAUACAUCGGAAUCUACUCUGUCGUGGGGGAUAACGUAGGGAAACUUACGCUAAUACCGCAUACGACCUACGGGUGAAAGCAGGGGACCUUCGGGCCUUGCGCGAUUGAAUGAGCCGAUGUCGGAUUAGCUAGUUGGCGGGGUAAAGGCCCACCAAGGCGACGAUCCGUAGCUGGUCUGAGAGGAUGAUCAGCCACACUGGAACUGAGACACGGUCCAGACUCCUACGGGAGGCAGCAGUGGGGAAUAUUGGACAAUGGGCGCAAGCCUGAUCCAGCCAUACCGCGUGGGUGAAGAAGGCCUUCGGGUUGUAAAGCCCUUUUGUUGGGAAAGAAAUCCAGCUGGCUAAUACCCGGUUGGGAUGACGGUACCCAAAGAAUAAGCACCGGCUAACUUCGUGCCAGCAGCCGCGGUAAUACGAAGGGUGCAAGCGUUACUCGGAAUUACUGGGCGUAAAGCGUGCGUA